RNAcentral lists this ribosomal RNA (123 nucleotides) under Lepisosteus oculatus (spotted gar). Lineage: Eukaryota; Metazoa; Chordata; Actinopteri; Semionotiformes; Lepisosteidae. The record is from RNAcentral.
ACCAGCAGCCAUAUCACCCUGCAACUCACAACUGGCAGCCUACUGAAGCUCAGGAGGGUUGAGCCUGGCCUGGUUAGUACCUGUGUAGGAGACCUCCUGGGAAAGCUAAGGUUGCUGCUGGAA